This 261-nucleotide unclassified non-coding RNA is filed under the name uncultured fungus. RNAcentral describes it as "sequence contains ITS2". The stretch from base 1 to 52 matches the Rfam family "5.8S ribosomal RNA", at positions 103 to 154 of the family's 154-position model. The record is from RNAcentral. Lineage: Eukaryota; Fungi.
AACGCAUAUUGCGCCCAUUGGUAUUCCGAUGGGCAUGCCUGUUCGAGCGUCAUUUCACCCCUCAAGUAUCUUAUACUUGGUGUUGGAGCUCUCUAUAGCGGUCCACGCUGUAGGCUCCGAAAGCAAUUGGCGGGCGUUUAGUGAACCCGGACGUAGUAAAACUACUUUUCGUUCAGGGCCUUCUCUAGAUUUCUAGCCGUUAAGCACCCCAAACUUUUACAAGUUGACCUCGGAUCAGGUAGGAAUACCCGCUGAACUUAA